GACGAACGCUGGCGGCGUGCUUAACACAUGCAAGUCGAACGGAAAGGCCUCUUUCGGGGGGUACUCGAGUGGCGAACGGGUGAGUAACACGUGAGUAACCUGCCCUUGACUUUGGGAUAACUUCAGGAAACUGGGGCUAAUACCGGAUAGGAGCUCCUGCUGCAUGGUGGGGGUUGGAAAGUUUCGGCGGUUGGGGAUGGACUCGCGGCUUAUCAGCUUGUUGGUGGGGUAGUGGCUUACCAAGGCUUUGACGGGUAGCCGGCCUGAGAGGGUGACCGGCCACAUUGGGACUGAGAUACGGCCCAGACUCCGACGGGAGGCAGCAGUGGGGAAUAUUGCACAAUGGGUGGAAGCCUGAUGCAGCAACGCCGUGUGCGGGAGGACGGCCUUCGGGUUGUAAACCGCUUUCGCUCAUGACGAAGCUUUGUGUGACGGUAGUGGGUAAAGAAGCACCGGCUAACUACGUG
This 467-nucleotide ribosomal RNA is filed under the name uncultured bacterium. RNAcentral's name for it is "partial 16S ribosomal RNA". It matches the Rfam family "Bacterial small subunit ribosomal RNA", at positions 28 to 507 of the family's 1533-position model. The record is from RNAcentral.